GAGUGAACGCUGGCGGUAGGCCUAACACAUGCAAGUCGAACGGCAGCACAGUAAGAGCUUGCUCUUAUGGGUGGCGAGUGGCGGACGGGUGAGGAAUACAUCGGAAUCUACCUUUUCGUGGGGGAUAACGUAGGGAAACUUACGCUAAUACCGCAUACGACCUUCGGGUGAAGGCAGGGGACCUUCGGGCCUUGCGCGGAUAGAUGAGCCGAUGUCGGAUUAGCUAGUUGGCGGGGUAAAGGCCCACCAAGGCGACGAUCCGUAGCUGGUCUGAGAGGAUGAUCAGCCACACUGGAACUGAGACACGGUCCAGACUCCUACGGGAGGCAGCAGUGGGGAAUAUUGGACAAUGGGCGCAAGCCUGAUCCAGCCAUACCGCGUGGGUGAAGAAGGCCUUCGGGUUGUAAAGCCCUUUUGUUGGGAAAGAAAAGCAGUCGGCUAAUACCCGGUUGUUCUGACGGUACCCAAAGAAUAAGCACCGGCUAACUUCGUGCCAGCAGCCGCGGUAAUACGAAGGGUGCAAGCGUUACUCGGAAUUACUGGGCGUAAAGCGUGCGUAGGUGGUUGUUUAAGUCUGUUGUGAAAGCCCUGGGCUCAACCUGGGAAUUGCAGUGGAUACUGGGCGACUAGAGUGUGGUAGAGGGUAGUGGAAUUCCCGGUGUAGCAGUGAAAUGCGUAGAGAUCGGGAGGAACAUCCAUGGCGAAGGCAGCUACCUGGACCAACACUGACACUGAGGCACGAAAGCGUGGGG
RNAcentral lists this ribosomal RNA (752 nucleotides) under uncultured bacterium. RNAcentral's name for it is "bacterial SSU rRNA". It matches the Rfam family "Bacterial small subunit ribosomal RNA", at positions 27 to 766 of the family's 1533-position model. The record is from RNAcentral.